CUGAAAAAGGGCAAAGCCGUCGUGAGGCGGUGACGCAAAGCCGCGGGCCUCUUGCUGAGGCCGCCGGGUUGCCAGAG
Non-coding RNA from Acetothermia bacterium 64_32, 77 nucleotides. The record is from Rfam. Lineage: Bacteria; Candidatus Bipolaricaulota.